AUUGAACGCUGGCGGCAUGCCUUACACAUGCAAGUCGAACGGCAGCACGGGUGCUUGCACCUGGUGGCGAGUGGCGAACGGGUGAGUAAUACAUCGGAACAUGUCCUGUAGUGGGGGAUAGCCCGGCGAAAGCCGGAUUAAUACCGCAUACGAUCCACGGAUGAAAGCGGGGGACCUUCGGGCCUCGCGCUAUAGGGUUGGCCGAUGGCUGAUUAGCUAGUUGGUGGGGUAAAGGCCUACCAAGGCGACGAUCAGUAGCUGGUCUGAGAGGACGACCAGCCACACUGGGACUGAGACACGGCCCAGACUCCUACGGGAGGCAGCAGUGGGGAAUUUUGGACAAUGGGCGAAAGCCUGAUCCAGCAAUGCCGCGUGUGUGAAGAAGGCCUUCGGGUUGUAAAGCACUUUUGUCCGGAAAGAAAUCCUUGACUCUAAUACAGUCGGGGGAUGACGGUACCGGAAGAAAAAGCACCGGCUAACUACGUG
RNAcentral lists this ribosomal RNA (486 nucleotides) under uncultured bacterium. RNAcentral describes it as "partial 16S ribosomal RNA". It matches the Rfam family "Bacterial small subunit ribosomal RNA", at positions 30 to 507 of the family's 1533-position model. The record is from RNAcentral.